Molecule: non-coding RNA, 794 nt
Organism: Biomphalaria pfeifferi
Lineage: Eukaryota; Metazoa; Mollusca; Gastropoda; Planorbidae
Source: the annotation of a GenBank genome assembly
CCCCCCCCCCCCCCCCCCCAAGCCUUUGAAAUAUCUAAUAGUGAAGAAGGAUCGCAAAUAUUUCUUAUACAUUUUUGAAGGACAUUGACUGACGUCUUUUAUAACUGAUACAUAAACAAAAUACUGUAGAGAAAUGUAGUAGUGAUUAACGUUUAGUCAGUAUUACUACAUAGCCUGAGCUAGAAUUAAAUCUGGGAUUAGUGGAAGAUAUUUAUAUUAGUGAUUAUGAAAGAACUAUCAUUUUUUCCAAGUAAUGUGUGAACAAAAGCAAGAUGUAUAAUAAUUAUGUCAAUAAUACUUUGAUCUCUGCAAUGGGUUGACAGAUAUUAUUGUGUAUAUUUCAUUAGACUAGAAUAUCAUACAGGAAUGGAGUUAGUCACAAUAUGACCAUGGCAAAGAUCAGUUCAUUAGGUUACAAGAAUUAUGAUAAGAACACGGUGAUAACAUCAAGUAAAAUGAAGUGUAAAAUGUGGUUGAUUGACUCUGUCUUUUAGCCCAUGUUUUGGUUUUUUUAAAAUGCACAGUUAAACAAUAUAGUACAUGAGGAGCUGACAUUGACUCUCUGCAUCCUUUUGUAAACACCUCAUCAUACAACAUUAUGAUUACAACUAAUUAGAAAUACAAAAUAAACACAUUAGAUGAUAUAACUCCAUAAAUGCUAAGUGUUAUGAGACAUUUAGAAAAAGGGGACUUAAAAGAAAUCAAUGUGUCAUUAUCUCAGUUGAAAAAUCAACUGAAGAACACAAAGGCUUAGUUUUCUGGUGCUGAUACUUAACUCAAAAGAAUUAGUCAUU